UUCCAUCAUCCGCAGAGCGGAGAAACGCUCGCGCUGCAGCUGAGUUUAACACAACGCUCACACACACAGAGAGAGAAACUCCUGUUUUGAGUGUCCAGCAGCGGCAGGUGAAGGUGGUUUUCAGCUCCGGUGUUGUGUGUCUGUGCGACAGAGAAGCGAAGGUUAGUGGACGUCCUACUUCUGACCAGUGAGUGAUGCAUGUGAGAGUGGUAGCCCUGGUCAUAUAUUCUCCUGCUACACCCUUCACAACCGCUUCUACCAUGUCGGGUAAGCUCCUCCAGGCCACACCAUACCCUCAACAGGGAGAAAAACAUGAGCUGUGUUUGGCAUGUUACCAGUACCACGGAGGUCGUAUGCCAGACGUCACUGUUACACCGCCUUUGCGGAACCACAGCGCAACAAACUGGCCACACGCUUUGUGGAUUUCGUUCAGCGGAUUGCUCUUUCGCCCGACCAUGUUGCUUCCAAAAAUGCAGCAGAUGACUUUGGUGGCAGUUCACGAAGCCUUGUUGGACAAAAACAGCGGUGACAGGUGAACCAGCAACAGCAGCAGUGAGACGCCAUGAACGACAGAGGCGCUGCCGGACGGCCUCCCUUUAUUGCUGAGUUACUACAGUAUAAGACGACAGACUAUUGCAACGUUUGGUUAAACAGAGUACCAGCGAGCCUUCCUGUCCGGGUCACGGCGUCCUGCCAUGGAGAGGUAUAUCCAGGGACAUUAAAACUGGUAAGAGUUCACAUUUACAUUUUUUUAGAAGAGAAAAUGGCCACCAAGUUCACGUACACUCAGUCCUCCGAUAAUAAAUAUAUACACGUCCCGCUCAAGUCCGGGUCACACAGCAGUGAGGCUCUGCUGCCUCCAGAAGUGGCAACUACUCAUUCGGAAGCAGCGGAGGGACAGCUUAACAAAAGAAAAAGUACUGUACAUAAUAUUUCUUAUAUAUUUUAAAUUAAUCUGCAUCAUCUUAUAUUUAUACUAAUGACCGCGUUUGCAUCAAUUUCUUUUUUUUUUUUUUUCUUUCGGCCGAACCCAGGAGGAGGAAAGGUGAGUCCCGUCUCUCACAGUCACCAGUGGUCUUGCAGUCCCGGUUCAGUCCCAGUCCUAGAGGAGUCCGUCAGGAUGUCCCAGGAUCAGACUUUGGCCUCCAGCAUCUCCAGGAACAGUUUGUGCAUGGGCACUUUUCCCUGCACCUUGAUGCUGUAAAAGUGCUGCACGGCCUUGGUGGCGGUCUGCCGGAGCAGCGGCAGCGUCAUGAGGAGCUUGCCCGCCCGCCGAGGGUCCUCCUGGUGCUGGCUGCUCUCGUAGUCCUGCAGAGCCUCGUGGAGGGCGUCCUGAAGCUUCUGGACGGCCUCCAUGUCCUCUAUGUGCAUGGAGUCUGGCAGGGGAGCAGCACAGGAACACUUCAGUCAAGGGUUUAGAUUUUUUUUCUCAGAUAGCCAUUUUCCCACCGGCACCUUCUCCUACUCUCAUUGUUUUCAUUUAGAUUUUCUCCACUUAGUUCAUGUUUCUCCUGAGGUAACUAUCUACUUUUUUAAUAGUGUUUCAACAUUGGUUGUUCUUCAGCGCCCCCUUCGUCCUCUGAAGGACAAACUGCGACCAAAUCAAAAAACAAAGGUCUCCAUUAGAGAAUUGGACGUCAUGGUUGUGAUAAAUGCAGAGGGGAUAAAAUAAACAUCUGCCAUCAGGUUUUGUAGCAUAACAGAGAGAGCAGAAGUUCCAGGUCCUUUGUUCCUGCUUCACUCUCUCUUCAGACUCGCCUCUGGUCUUCCACGCUCUGAUAACACUUCCCUCCAGCAGGGCCGCCCCUGCGCUCCCCCUGUACAUGGUGCUUCAGAACCCCCCUCUAAUUUCCCUCCGUUCGCCUGGCGGGACCGUGUGAGGUCGCACUUCUCUCACCACUUACUCGGGCGUCGUGUCAUUGGCUGUGUGGCUACAUUCACCUUGGCGCCGCAUAUUUUACCGUGCGGGACGAUAAAAAGGCAAAACAGAUUUGAGACUUCGCCCCAAAUUCAUUGACUGGAACGACUGUAUUCCCAGGACCUUGAGACAUUUCUCACCCUGACGCUUUUCAAAUCCGCAGCGGUGAAGUGAAGUAGGUCGUUUGGUGGAGUGAGCUCCAUUUUUUUCUUUUUAACAGACCUGCUGCAUUUGGGACUCUGACCGCCCCCUUCAGGUUAAACGGAAUAAGCGUUAUCAUAUACAAAAGCUAGUUUAUAUAAUGCCCAGCUUAUGUGUCUUAUUGUUUUAUAUCGUAGUUUCAAACACUCAAAUUCAUUUCUAAUUCCUAUUAAAAUUAAGGUGAGGAGGUGGGAGUACUCGGAGUAGAUCCCAGACGACGUGGUGCCCAUGAGCAAGACUGAAGUUUGUGAAAAUGGUGGCAGCAGCACUGUGUCCCAUAUACAUUUCAGAGGUUUUGCUUGGAUAAAAAAAGCGUAAACGCUCGUACUCAGCGAGUCAGACAUAAAAACAACUUUGAAGAAACAAUUUCUCUGCAAUCCAUCAAGCAGCUCACGUCGAUCCGAUUGAUAAACUGCUAAUUACAAAAUCAAUGGCCAUGAAUUUUCAGAGCUGUCAGACAGGGGAGCUCCCAGGAGGGACAUCCAGCCCAGACCUGGUGGGAGCGUCGCGCACACCUCCCCCCCGCCGCCCGAGCUCCAUUGUCUGACAGCAAAGCUCCGGCAUCAGCAUUUUCAUUUUUCCGCGCAGGACAAAACAAGGCGGCGCGGGCCGGUGACCGGGGCGAGCAUUGAUCAGAGCGCGGACGGGACCUGCCUCCUCAAAAGGAGCCUGUCAAUAGCAGCGUGCCGGCUGCACAUUGGAACAAACGAGGGCCAUCACUCGCCCCAACUCAUUCCAUUCCACUUAACACAUUUUAUUGACAGCCCCCUUGCUCCUAAUGAAAUGCUAAAUUUAUCUCCCGUGGCUGCUGCGCGCCCGCCGGCUACUGUUAUGGAGAUAGAGGCAGCGCCGGGGAGAAAUACCACAACAUGGAUGGAGUUCAAUUAAAAAGAGCUCCCUCUCCCACUCUGCCCUUAUCGUCCCUCCAUCUCUCCAUCUCGGGCUCCAAACUAAAGGUUACUGCCGGGAAAGUGAGAAAUGUCAUUUCUCUUAGACUAUAACCAUGACGCCGACACAGUUCCACUCCCAAAAAGUUGCAUUCGCAGCUCGAGAAACUGCCGCACAAAUGUCCUGCAGCGCUUUCCCUGUUGAGAUGCGAUUACCCGCGUAGAGUUUCGCAAAAACUGUCGGCUCAAAUUCAGCAAUCUGGUUUUGUUGCCACUGUAUCUACAAAAGUGAAACGUGACGGAGAGAAAGUGUUGGGACUCUGCCGUCACCUUACUUCCUGGUCAAGGUCACAUGGCACGGUAAGCUCGGCGUUCAGGUACCUGAGUUGGCGAGCGCGAUGGCCUUCAGGGUGACAAACUCCUCCUUCUCCACUUUCAGCUUCUUGUACUUCCGGACCAGCUGCAGGAUGGAGACGUAGAGGUCCAGCAGGCCGGUUAGCCUGGAGUGCUCCUCGUCCAUGAUGUAGUCCUCAGCAUAGACCAGUUCGUCCUCGUAGGGCAGCGAGCGGAACACGAUGCUGAGGAUGAGGAUCUCCAUCCAGGCGCUCUGCAGUAGACUCAUCUGGUCCCCCAGAGACAGAGUGGAGAAGCCUGCCACAAGAAAGACACGUCAAAAGCCUGGCAAGGAGACUCCACCACUACUGACACCCAAAGAAAGGUGAUGGAAAAACUGCAUAAAAGGUGGACGAUAAUACCAGAGAGCAGCUCAGUCUGUAAGACCAUGAGGUCCAGCACGAUAGCUUGUUUUAGAGGCAGAGAAAACAGUAGCUGGACUAAGUGUGAGGGGUCAGAAGGAACCUCAGUGAGUACGGGCUGCUGGGCCGGGGCACUUUUAGCUGGUCAGUUUGAGCUUCCAUGUUCUGCAAGCUGUGACCUGUUUGGUUGACCUUGACUCAAAGGCUGGCAUGAAUUUUCUGGACAGAGUUGGACCUCAGAAAAAGGUCAAGACCAAGUCCAAGGCCAAACUGAGUACACAACACAGCAGCAUUUGGCUGUUUCGAACACACUGCUAAUAGAAUAUCUUGUCAUUUUAACAACGAUAACUCUAAUAUUGGAAAAAAAACGGAGAGCUGAAAUGUUGCUUUCAAAAACAACAUUGAAUUCACAUAUGGGAUUUAAAAAUGUAUCCUGUUGGAACGAGACAAGACCAAGACUUCAAAAUGUGGUCUUGGUCUCGGAAGUAAAGGGGAGCUCAGUCUCCACCAGUUCUGAAACCGCUGUGUGAGGCUCAUGUGGUGCAGGGUCCAAAAGUAGUUCACUGCUCCAGCAUCUCUUUUAUUUCUCCUUCAAGAUCUUUAUGUUGAAAACAGAAGAUUGAAUCUCAUAAAAGUUUGGCUCCUCAUCACCAUUUCCCAGAUACUAGCGCUCAAUAAAAUAAGAGGGUCCCCCUCCUCCUCUCCCCACAGGCGUCCUGUCUUCCCCGACCCCCCUGAUGCUUUCACCAGUUUGUUGCGUGCAGGCGGGUAUGUGACUAUGAGGCUCGGCCACGCCCCGGCUCCAUAUCGCCAGGCUCCAUCUGGCGCACCCGAACACGGCCAGGAAAAGGCGGCCGCGACGAGGAAGUAAAAGUCGGGGGAGAGAACUCGGUGUUCAGUUUCUCUUAUCGUGGCGAUGAGCAGCGGCGGGGACGGGCCGCAGGAUACAUUAAUUAAGAGAUUGGGAUCAGAAUGUGAGGGGCUCUUACGUUUUGAAGGAGAAUCAAUAGUCGGUGGGAUGGAGUGGUCAGAAGAGCCCGAAUUAGACUCGACAAAAAGUGCCAAAAGCACUCAAAACUAUUAUCAGCUGAGGCCAUUACAGGGGCCCAGACGGCACGUUCCAAUCUCCUUGUUGUGUAAUUUCCUUGUCUGCAUACGUGGCCAUUAAGCUGGACAGAAUUUGGACCGGCCCGACUUGACAUGCGAGCGUGGACGCGGCGUUGAUUGCUGCGUCAGGUUUGGCAUCGCAAU
Long non-coding RNA from Synchiropus splendidus (mandarinfish), 5012 nucleotides. RefSeq lists it as uncharacterized. The transcript has 3 exons. The record is from RefSeq and is a predicted model, not a curated record. Lineage: Eukaryota; Metazoa; Chordata; Actinopteri; Syngnathiformes; Callionymidae.